AACGUAGGAGACGAGCGUUAUCCGGAUUUACUGGGCGUAAAGCGUGUGCAGGCGGUUCGGCAAGUUGGAUGUGAAAUCUCCCGGCUCAACUGGGAGGGGUCGUUCAAUACUACCGAACUUGAGGUCAUCAGAGGAAGGUGGAAUUCCGGGUGUAGUGGUGAAAUGCGUAGAUAUCCGGAGGAACACCAGUGGCGAAGGCGACACGCUGGGCCGUACCUGACGCUAAAGCGCGACAGCAUGGGGAGCAAACGGG
RNAcentral lists this ribosomal RNA (253 nucleotides) under uncultured bacterium. Its description in RNAcentral is "partial 16S ribosomal RNA". It matches the Rfam family "Bacterial small subunit ribosomal RNA", at positions 524 to 776 of the family's 1533-position model. The record is from RNAcentral.